GAUGAACGCUGGCGGCGUGCCUAAUACAUGCAAGUCGAGCGAACAGAUGAGGAGCUUGCUCCUCUGACGUUAGCGGCGGACGGGUGAGUAACACGUGGAUAACCUACCUAUAAGACUGGGAUAACUUCGGGAAACCGGAGCUAAUACCGGAUAAUAUAUUGAACCGCAUGGUUCAUUAGUGAAAGACGGUUUUGCUGUCACUUAUAGAUGGAUCCGCGCCGCAUUAGCUAGUUGGUAAGGUAACGGCUUACCAAGGCAACGAUGCGUAGCCGACCUGAGAGGAUGAUCGGCCACACUGGAACUGGGACACGGUCCAGACUCCUACGGGAGGCAGCAGUAGGGAAUCUUCCGCAAUGGGCGAAAGCCUGACGGAGCAACGCCGCGUGAGUGAUGAAGGUCUUCGGAUCGUAAAACUCUGUUAUUAGGGAAGAACAAAUGUGUAAGUAACUAUGCACGUCUUGACGGUACCUAAUCAGAAAGCCACGGCUAACUACGUG
RNAcentral lists this ribosomal RNA (497 nucleotides) under uncultured bacterium. RNAcentral describes it as "partial 16S ribosomal RNA". It matches the Rfam family "Bacterial small subunit ribosomal RNA", at positions 28 to 507 of the family's 1533-position model. The record is from RNAcentral.